GUGUCAGCAGCCGCGGUAAUACCCGCGGCCCGAGUGGUGGUCGAUAUUAUUGAGCCUAAAACGUCCGUAGCCGGUCUUGUAAAUCCUUGGGUAAAUCGGCCAGCUUAACUGUCCGAAGUCCGGGGAGACUGCAAGACUUGGGAUCGGGAGAGGUCAGAGGUACUUCUGGGGUAGGGGUAAAAUCCUGUAAUCCUGGAAGGACCACCGGUGGCGAAGGCGUCUGACUAGAACGAAUUCGACGGUGAGGGACGAAGCCCUGGGGCGCAAACGGGAUUAGAUACCCCGGUAGUCCAGGGUGUAAACGCUGCGGGCUUGGUGUUGGGGGUCCUUUGUGGGCGCCCAGUGCCGGAGAGAAGUUGUUAAGCCUGCUGCUUGGGGAGUACGUCCGCAAGGAUGAA
Molecule: ribosomal RNA, 398 nt
Filed under: uncultured bacterium
Lineage: Bacteria
Description: bacterial SSU rRNA
Rfam family: Archaeal small subunit ribosomal RNA
Source: RNAcentral